This 24-nucleotide non-coding RNA is filed under the name Mus musculus (house mouse). Lineage: Eukaryota; Metazoa; Chordata; Mammalia; Rodentia; Muridae. The record is from RNAcentral.
CGGUGAGGUGCUAGGACAAGGAUU